Molecule: non-coding RNA, 258 nt
Organism: Biomphalaria pfeifferi
Lineage: Eukaryota; Metazoa; Mollusca; Gastropoda; Planorbidae
Source: the annotation of a GenBank genome assembly
CCAAUUAGUAAAUUGACUAUUGGUAAUAAAUUACUUUGUUUGGUAUCUCAUAUGAGGGAAAGAAAUAGUAAUUGACAGAAGUGGUGGUAUAAGCUGAAUUAGUCCCCUUUAUAGAUUGAGGCUUAUUUCAAAUUUAAUUGCAUGACUGAUCCAAAUUGAUACACUUAAUAUCAUCAUCAUCUUUCCUUUGGGUUCCUCAUGGAACAUAGGGCCUCAGCAAAAACACGCCACUCUCCACGGUCUCAUGCUAAUUUUUUU